Hemicordylus capensis (graceful crag lizard) is the source of this 1080-nucleotide long non-coding RNA. RefSeq lists it as uncharacterized. Lineage: Eukaryota; Metazoa; Chordata; Lepidosauria; Squamata; Cordylidae. The record is from RefSeq and is a predicted model, not a curated record. The transcript is spliced from 2 exons.
UUUCAGCGCCAGGAUGCAGCCCUGCAACAAGUCAAGUCAUCAUAAAACGGGCAUGACUCUGAGCAUGUGCAGAAUGUCUGCCUUCCUUGCGUGACACCUCUGGAAUCAGAAGGCAAUAGGGCUUCCAGGAGUUUCUGCCUUUUGGUGAAUUUCCAAGAAGUCUCUCUGCUACAGAAUAAGGAGGUCAUCAGUGGUUCUCCAACCAAUAUGACAAGAUAUUUUAUUGUACUAUACAGUUCUCCUUUGGACGGUGGCAGAUGAAUUCAAGAAGAACAUUGAGAAUUGUUCCUGCAUGGACAUUGUUAAUAUGAUCAUGUUAAUAACUGAACUUGCUCUAAGUUUGUGGUUACUAUAUUUUCAUGUCUAAAUGAAGAAAAACCUUGUGAGGCCUCAAAACCUCCACAAAAAGCAAGCCAAAUAAAAGGGUUCUGUGGUGCAUUUUCUGGAAGCAUUUUAAAGGAUUGUUUGGAUAAGUUUUCAAACCUAGGGUUAGACAGCCAUGGGGAACCCCACAGAGCACAUUAGAGCUCUGGUUCUCUGUCCUCCCUCCCAACAUGAGUGCGCAGAUGGACAUGCGGGCAGGGCAAGGGGCCAUGGCAGAGAAUGGAAGAUAUUCUGUAUGCAACUCUCAUAUCCCCAUUGAGCCCUCUUACUUGUGCCCUGAGCACCUAUAACCUGCAAGGCACAGGAAGAGAGGGCUGGAUAGGAAUCUGGGGAAUGUGCAUAGACUUGCUAUUAUCUGCAGGACUUCCUUAAGCUGCCGGCACAUCCGCCUGUGCAAGCAGAGAGAAGGAAAAGCAGGGCUCUUUGGGGUUCCUCCAUGUGCGGGCACUGUCCCCAUGCUUCUAUACUGAACCCUACAAGCCUUCAGUACUCUCUCAGAAGGAAACCCUGUAAAAUUCUUCUCCCCUGAGACUAUCUUCUGCUCCAAUAUCUGUUGCUUUGUUGUAUUUAUUUGAUCGCUAAUCAGGAUAAGAUGGGCUGGAAACUGAAAUAAACAUAUUUGUGUAUCUUUGAUUAGUUGGCAUGAUACAUAUGUGUUCAAUAUUUGUGCAUGGAAAAAUAAAUGUUCCAAGGUAU